This 253-nucleotide ribosomal RNA is filed under the name uncultured bacterium. RNAcentral describes it as "partial 16S ribosomal RNA". It matches the Rfam family "Bacterial small subunit ribosomal RNA", at positions 524 to 776 of the family's 1533-position model. The record is from RNAcentral.
UACGAAGGGGGCUAGCGUUGUUCGGAAUUACUGGGCGUAAAGCGCGCGUAGGCGGUGAUCUUUGUCAGAGGUGAAAGCCUGGGGCUCAACUCCAGAAUUGCCUUUGAAACGGGAUCGCUUGAGUCCGAGAGAGGAUGGCGGAAUUCCUAGUGUAGAGGUGAAAUUCGUAGAUAUUAGGAAGAACACCGGUGGCGAAGGCGGCCAUCUGGCUCGGUACUGACGCUCAGGCGCGAAAGCGUGGGGAGCAAGCAGG